Molecule: ribosomal RNA, 297 nt
Filed under: Ornithonyssus brasiliensis
Lineage: Eukaryota; Metazoa; Arthropoda; Arachnida; Mesostigmata; Macronyssidae
Description: partial 16S ribosomal RNA
Source: RNAcentral
ACCAUGCGAAGGUAUUGAAAUAAGAUUUUAAAUGAGUGCUAAGAGAAUGGAUUAAUGGAGAUAAGCUUUUUUUAGAAAAAAAAUUGAAUUUAAAAUAAAAAUAAAAAUGUUUUUAUAUUUAUAUUAGACAAGAAGACCCUAAAAUCUUACAUUAUUAAAAGUAAUUUUAAUUGGGGCAAUUAAAAAAUAAAAAGUAAUUUUAUUAAGAAAGUUUUUUAAAAAAUUGACAAGAUACUUUAGGGAUAACAGCGUAAUUAUUAUGGAGAGUUCAUAUUGAUAUAAAAGUUUGCGACCUCG